Molecule: ribosomal RNA, 468 nt
Filed under: Aeginura grimaldii
Lineage: Eukaryota; Metazoa; Cnidaria; Hydrozoa; Narcomedusae; Aeginidae
Description: partial 16S ribosomal RNA
Rfam family: Bacterial large subunit ribosomal RNA
Source: RNAcentral
UUUAAAUAAAUUUUUAAAGUGGGGCCUGGUCAGUGAAUUUAAAUUUAAACACACGCCUUAGAAUGAGGGUGAUAAUGUAGCAUAAUAAAUUGACAUUUAAUUGAUGUCUGGGAGGAAUGGUGAAACGAUUUUAACAUUGUCUCAACUUUUUAGUGAAUGAAAUUGAUUAACUUAUGAAAAUUUAAAUUAAAUUUUAUAAGACGAAAAGACCCCAUAAACCUUAACUAUAUUAUAUUUUUUAAAAAUAAUGGUAGUUUAGCUGGGGUGGCUGUCUUUUAAUUAAACAAAGGUUUAUAGAUUAAAAUUAUACUACUUAUCUUAAUAAAUUAUAAAAAUAUAUUUAGAUCUUAAAAAAGAAAUAAUGAUCAGUUUUUUCUAAGAAACGAUUAACUACAAAUAAUAAAAGGUACUUUGGGGAUAACAGCGCUAUUAUACGAUAAAGACUGUUAUUUAUCUUAAAGUUUGCGA